GACGAACGCUGGCGGCGUGCCUAACACAUGCAAGUCGAACGGAGAUACGAUUUCGGUUGUAUCUUAGUGGCGAACGGGUGAGUAACGCGUGAGCAACCUGACCUUUAGAGGGGGAUAACACUUGGAAACAGGUGCUAAUACCGCAUAAGACCACGACCUGACAUCAGGAUGAGGUCAAAGGAGUAAUCCGCUAGAGGAGGGGCUCGCGUCCCAUUAGAUAGAUGGCGGGGUAACGGCCCACCAUGUCGACGAUGGGUAGCCGAGCUGAGAGGCUGAUCGGCCACACUGGAACUGAGACACGGUCCAGACUCCUACGGGAGGCAGCAGUGGGGAAUAUUGGGCAAUGGGCGCAAGCCUGACCCAGCAACGCCGCGUGAGGGAAGAAGGCCUUCGGGUUGUAAACCUCUGUCCUUGGUGACGAACAAAUGACGGUAGCCAAGGAGGAAGCCCCGGCUAACUACGUG
Molecule: ribosomal RNA, 464 nt
Filed under: uncultured bacterium
Lineage: Bacteria
Description: bacterial SSU rRNA
Rfam family: Bacterial small subunit ribosomal RNA
Source: RNAcentral